This 503-nucleotide ribosomal RNA is filed under the name uncultured bacterium. RNAcentral describes it as "partial 16S ribosomal RNA". It matches the Rfam family "Bacterial small subunit ribosomal RNA", at positions 28 to 523 of the family's 1533-position model. The record is from RNAcentral.
GAUGAACGCUAGCGGCAGGCCUAACACAUGCAAGUCGAGGGGUAGCAGGAUUAAGCUUGCUUAAUUGCUGACGACCGGCGCACGGGUGCGUAACGCGUAUGCAACCUACCUUAUACUGGGGUAUAGCCCGGAGAAAUUCGGAUUAAUCCCCCAUAGUACUAAUGAAUCGCAUGGUUUAUUAGUUAAGGCAUUGCGGUAUAAGAUGGGCAUGCGUCCUAUUAGCUAGAUGGUGAGGUAACGGCUCACCAUGGCUACGAUAGGUAGGGGGCCUGAGAGGGGGGUCCCCCACACUGGUACUGAGACACGGACCAGACUCCUACGGGAGGCAGCAGUGAGGAAUAUUGGUCAAUGGGCGCAAGCCUGAACCAGCCAUGCCGCGUGCGGGAAGAAUGCCCUAUGGGUUGUAAACUGCUUUUAUUUGGGAAUAAACCUCUUUACGUGUAGAGAGCUGAAGGUACCAAAUGAAUAAGCACCGGCUAACUCCAUGCCAGCCGCCGCGGUAA